Long non-coding RNA from Perognathus longimembris pacificus (Pacific pocket mouse), 186 nucleotides. RefSeq lists it as uncharacterized. The transcript has 3 exons. NCBI's taxonomy places the organism in Eukaryota, Metazoa, Chordata, Mammalia, Rodentia, Heteromyidae. The record is from RefSeq and is a predicted model, not a curated record.
AUUAAUCCUCUGCAUCUGUGCUACGUGACCACUUGCUGUAGAAUGCAUAGCUUCUACCUUUAAAACCCCAGCCCUGCGGUGGCUCAUGGCUGUUCUUUACCAUCCUGAGGGUGGAGAGCAGACGCUGUGCAUAGCUAAGUAAACACUCCUAGCCCAAUCGGCUAAGUGCUGGUGACUUUCUUGUCG